This 459-nucleotide ribosomal RNA is filed under the name uncultured bacterium. RNAcentral describes it as "partial 16S ribosomal RNA". It matches the Rfam family "Bacterial small subunit ribosomal RNA", at positions 338 to 795 of the family's 1533-position model. The record is from RNAcentral.
CCUACGGGUGGCAGCAGUGAGGAAUAUUGGUCAAUGGGCGUAAGCCUGAACCAGCCAAGUCGCGUGAGGGAUGAAGGUUCUAUGGAUCGUAAACCUCUUUUAUAAGGGGAUAAAGUGUGGGACGAGUCCUAUUUUGUAUGUACCUUAUGAAUAAGCAUCGGCUAACUCCGUGCCAGCAGCCGCGGUAAUACGGAGGAUCCGAGCGUUAUCCGGAUUUAUUGGGUUUAAAGGGUGCGUAGGCGGCCUUUUAAGUCAGCGGUAAAAGCCUGGGGCCAAACCCUACAUUGCCGUUGAAACUGGGGGGCUAGAGAACGUAUGAGGCAGGCGGAAUGCGUGGAGUAGCGGUGAAAUGCUUAGAUAUAACGCAGAACCCCGAUUGCGAAGGCAGCCUGCCAGGCCAUGACUGACGCUGAUGCACGAAAGCGUGGGUAUCAAACAGGAUUAGAUACCCGUGUAGUC